UAUAUUAGACUCAUAUUUACCUGUAUAUGUUCAGUAAUAUGGACUGGACGUUUCUACCGAGCUGCCGUAAAUAGCUUGACUACAUGGGAAAAAGUGCGUUGC
Molecule: non-coding RNA, 102 nt
Filed under: Bacillus sp. (in: firmicutes)
Lineage: Bacteria; Bacillati; Bacillota; Bacilli; Caryophanales; Bacillaceae
Also listed under: 1 other name
Description: Bacillus sp. Guanine sequence
Rfam family: Purine riboswitch aptamer
About the family: Riboswitches are metabolite binding domains within certain messenger RNAs that serve as precision sensors for their corresponding targets. Allosteric rearrangement of mRNA structure is mediated by ligand binding, and this results in modulation of gene expression.
Source: RNAcentral